AGCGCAGGCGGGAAGACAAGUUGGAAGUGAAAUCUAUGGGCUCAACCCACAAACUGCUUUCAAAACUGUUUUUUCUUGAGUAGUGCAGAGGUGGGCGGAAUUCCCGGUGUAGCGGUGGAAUGCGUAGAUAUCGGGAGGAACACCAGUGGCGAAGGCGGCCUACUGGGCACCAACUGACGCUGAGGCUCGAAAGUGUGGGUAAGCAAACA
RNAcentral lists this ribosomal RNA (209 nucleotides) under uncultured bacterium. RNAcentral's name for it is "partial 16S ribosomal RNA". It matches the Rfam family "Bacterial small subunit ribosomal RNA", at positions 568 to 774 of the family's 1533-position model. The record is from RNAcentral.